Molecule: ribosomal RNA, 194 nt
Filed under: uncultured bacterium
Lineage: Bacteria
Description: partial 16S ribosomal RNA
Rfam family: Bacterial small subunit ribosomal RNA
Source: RNAcentral
CCUACGGGAGGCAGCAGUGGGGAAUAUUGGACAAUGGGGGAAACCCUGAUCCAGCCAUGCCGCGUGUGUGAAGAAGGCCUUAGGGUUGUAAAGCACUUUCAGUGGGGAGGAAGGCUUCAGAUUAAUACUCUGGAGUACUUGACGUUACCCACAGAAGAAGCACCGGCUAAUUUCGUGCCAGCAGCCGCGGUAAU